AGAGUUUGAUCCUGGCUCAGAAUGAACGUUGGCGGCGUGGAUUAGGCAUGCAAGUCGAGCGAGAACCCGCAAGGGGGACAGCGGCGAACGGGGUAGGAAUACGUAGGUAACGUACCCUCGGGGCGAGGACAGCCACGGGAAACUGUGGGUAAUACUCGAUAAACUUCCCAAUCAUUAUCGGAGGGGAAGCAAUGGGUGUGAUUCCACCUGAGGAGCGGCUUACGCAGUAUCAGCUAGUUGGUGAGGUAACGGCUCACCAAGGCUACGACGCUUAGGGGGUGUGAGAGCAUGGCCCCCACCACUGGCACUGAGACACUGGCCAGACACCUACGGGUGGCUGCAGUCGAGAAUCUUCGGCAAUGGACGCAAGUCUGACCGAGCGACGCCGCGUGUGGGAUGAAGGCCUUCGGGUUGUAAACCAC
This 422-nucleotide ribosomal RNA is filed under the name uncultured bacterium. RNAcentral describes it as "bacterial SSU rRNA". It matches the Rfam family "Bacterial small subunit ribosomal RNA", at positions 8 to 433 of the family's 1533-position model. The record is from RNAcentral.